GACGAUGAGCACUGUUCUUUGGUUAAAACAUGAAACAUGAAUGAAAUGUGCUUGUGGCGGGGUCUCCGUGCUUCAUUUCCUGCUCCGGUUGUCCCAUCCCAGGUCGCUCUCUGCGGACCGGGGCCAAUCGUGGAAAACAGACCCAGGGCUCCUGACCUGCAGUCUCAGUGUGGAUCGGUCAUAUUCGAACACCCGGAUGCCUGGAUUGUUGGCCCCGUUGACCACUCCAGGAGAGAGACAGUGAAACAGACAGGCUGGCGAGAAGGGGGAGGUGGACUGGCAGCUGCCCUCCAGAGUGAGUACCUGCAUCAUCAUAGAACAUCCGAAAGCUGUCAGUGUGGUGGUGCCCGAAGAACUGCCCUGCAAUGACCCGGUAGUGCCUCUGGACCACCUUCAGACCUCAGAAGGAGACGCAGUCCCUAACCCCAUUCCCAGCAGAAAGUUUCGUCACCAGAAAGGAAGCACCAGAUGAGGGGGAGGAGGAAGCUAGAAGAUCUAAAUAAUCUUCAGAUCCAUCAUCAGCCAUCAACUCCAGACCCAUCUGACUAUUUCCCGAUCCACUUGCUGUUCCCGAGCAAGGGAAGGAGUUUCCUUCACCCUGGGAGGCCUCAGGAGUUUGUUCAUUCGGGAUUCAAAUAUUUAUGGAGCACCUUGUUGGUGCCAACUUGUAGACCUGGGAGCCGGGUACCCAACCCCAGCCCAGGGGCCUUGCAGUGUAGCAGGGUAACAGGCAUUGAGUAAUGCAACAUGCGAAGGCCAACACAAAAAGGGAAGAGCCUAUAUGCAACACAGAAAAGACAAGUAGUGACUCUACAGUAUCCUGCUAUGCUCAUGGACAGUGAC
Manis javanica (Malayan pangolin) is the source of this 843-nucleotide long non-coding RNA. RefSeq lists it as uncharacterized. The record is from RefSeq and is a predicted model, not a curated record. NCBI's taxonomy places the organism in Eukaryota, Metazoa, Chordata, Mammalia, Pholidota, Manidae.